UACGGAGGGAGCUAGCGUUGUUCGGAAUUACUGGGCGUAAAGCGCGCGUAGGCGGCUUUGUAAGUUAGAGGUGAAAGCCCGGGGCUCAACCCCGAAUUGCCUUUAAGACUGCAUCGCUUGAAUCCGGGAGAGGUGAGUGGAAUUCCGAGUGUAGAGGUGAAAUUCGUAGAUAUUCGGAAGAACACCAGUGGCGAAGGCGGCUCACUGGACCGGCAUUGACGCUGAGGUGCGAAAGCGUGGGGAGCAAACAGG
This 252-nucleotide ribosomal RNA is filed under the name uncultured bacterium. RNAcentral's name for it is "partial 16S ribosomal RNA". It matches the Rfam family "Bacterial small subunit ribosomal RNA", at positions 524 to 776 of the family's 1533-position model. The record is from RNAcentral.